GACGAACGCUGGCGGCGUGCUUAACACAUGCAAGUCGAACGGUAAGGCCCUUCGGGGUACACGAGUGGCGAACGGGUGAGUAACACGUGGGUGAUCUGCCCUGCACUUCGGGAUAAGCCUGGGAAACUGGGUCUAAUACCGGAUAGGACCCUGGGAUGCAUGUCCUGGGGUGGAAAGCUUUUGCGGUGUGGGAUGGGCCCGCGGCCUAUCAGCUUGUUGGUGGGGUGAUGGCCUACCAAGGCGACGACGGGUAGCCGGCCUGAGAGGGUGACCGGCCACACUGGGGCUGGGAUACGGGCCAGACUCCUACGGGAGGCAGCAGUGGGGAAUAUUGCACAAUGGGCGCAAGCCUGAUGCAGCGGCGCCGCGUGAGGGAUGACGGCCUUCGGGUUGUAAACCUCUUUCAGCACCGACGAAGCGCAAGUGACGGUAGGUGCAGAAGAAGGACCGGCCAACUACGUGCCAGCCGCCGCAGUAA
Molecule: ribosomal RNA, 478 nt
Filed under: uncultured bacterium
Lineage: Bacteria
Description: partial 16S ribosomal RNA
Rfam family: Bacterial small subunit ribosomal RNA
Source: RNAcentral